RNAcentral lists this ribosomal RNA (253 nucleotides) under uncultured bacterium. RNAcentral's name for it is "partial 16S ribosomal RNA". It matches the Rfam family "Bacterial small subunit ribosomal RNA", at positions 524 to 776 of the family's 1533-position model. The record is from RNAcentral.
UACGUAGGGGGCAAGCGUUGUCCGGAUUUACUGGGCGUAAAGAGCGCGUAGGCGGAAGCUUAAGUGUGGCCUGAAAGCCCCCGGCUCAACCGGGGAGGGUGGCUGCAAACUGGGCUUCUUGAGGGGGAUAGAGGAAAGUGGAAUUCCGGGUGUAGCGGUGAAAUGCGUAGAGAUCCGGAGGAACACCAGUGGCGAAGGCGGCUUUCUGGGUCCGCCCUGACGCUGAGGCGCGAAAGCGUGGGGAGCAAACAGG